GACGAACCUUGCUAACGUUAUUCGGAAUUACUGGGCUUAAAGGGUGCGUAGGCGGUGCAGAAAGUCGGGUGUGAAAUCCCCCAGCUCAACUGAGGAAUUGCGCCCGAAACUACUGUGCUUGAGGAAGAUAGAGGUACGCGGAACUUAGGGUGGAGCGGUGAAAUGCGUUGAUAUCCUAAGGAACACCGGUGGCGAAGGCGGCUACCUGGACAGGUACUG
RNAcentral lists this ribosomal RNA (219 nucleotides) under uncultured prokaryote. RNAcentral's name for it is "partial 16S ribosomal RNA". It matches the Rfam family "Bacterial small subunit ribosomal RNA", at positions 524 to 742 of the family's 1533-position model. The record is from RNAcentral.